This 465-nucleotide ribosomal RNA is filed under the name uncultured bacterium. Its description in RNAcentral is "partial 16S ribosomal RNA". It matches the Rfam family "Bacterial small subunit ribosomal RNA", at positions 28 to 506 of the family's 1533-position model. The record is from RNAcentral.
GAUGAACGCUGGCGGCGUGCUUAACACAUGCAAGUCGAACGGAAAGGCCCAAGCUUGCUUGGGUACUCGAGUGGCGAACGGGUGAGUAACACGUGGGUGAUCUGCCCUGCACUUCGGGAUAAGCCUGGGAAACUGGGUCUAAUACCGGAUAGGACCACAUUUUGGAUGGUGUGGUGGAAAGUUUUUCGGUGUGGGAUGAGCUCGCGGCCUAUCAGCUUGUUGGUGGGGUAAUGGCCUACCAAGGCGUCGACGGGUAGCCGGCCUGAGAGGGUGUACGGCCACAUUGGGACUGAGAUACGGCCCAGACUCCUACGGGAGGCAGCAGUGGGGAAUAUUGCACAAUGGGAGCAAGCCUGAUGCAGCGACGCCGCGUGGGGGAUGACGGCCUUCGGGUUGUAAACUCCUUUCGCUAGGGACGAAGCGUUAUGUGACGGUACCUGGAGAAGAAGCACCGGCUAACUACGU